GGGUGCACGCUCCAUUCCGGAGUGGGGCAGGAUGCGCGAUGGUCGGGCCGCCACG
This 55-nucleotide non-coding RNA is filed under the name Massilia timonae. RNAcentral's name for it is "Li+-I sequence". It matches the Rfam family "nhaA-I RNA". Rfam says of the family: Acidobacteria, Alphaproteobacteria, Betaproteobacteria and Gammaproteobacteria, Verrucomicrobia, cand. division NC10. Downstream gene Lineage: Bacteria; Pseudomonadati; Pseudomonadota; Betaproteobacteria; Burkholderiales; Oxalobacteraceae. RNAcentral also lists the same sequence under 1 other name. The record is from RNAcentral.